Oreochromis niloticus (Nile tilapia) is the source of this 377-nucleotide long non-coding RNA. RefSeq lists it as uncharacterized. The record is from RefSeq and is a predicted model, not a curated record. Lineage: Eukaryota; Metazoa; Chordata; Actinopteri; Cichliformes; Cichlidae. The transcript is spliced from 2 exons.
GGUUGGUAGGCAGGUCGCUGAGGCACCGGCUCCUAACGGUAGCAGCACGCGAGCGCUGGGUCACAAACCUCCCCCAUCCCUCACCUGAUAGCCCGGUUAGAUGUUCUCGGUGGGAUUCGGUAAACGUUGACUUCAGAAGUAAAGACGAGAGACAAAGAUCCUGAGGCGAAGGUUGGGUGUCUGUUUGAGGAACUGGGCCAGUCUGGAAGAGCAGUUUGCACAGGGAGACCAGGAGCAGAACCAGGUGAUGGAGUAGCUGACCCUCCUCUCCCCAUGAAAUCCAUACCCAGACAGGCCAGGGCAUAAUGUACCAAGUUGGCGCAGGAACAGCAGCUGCAGAGAAAAAUAAGAAUAAAAUAAUCAUUAUACAGCCUUCA